Molecule: ribosomal RNA, 239 nt
Filed under: uncultured bacterium
Lineage: Bacteria
Description: partial 16S ribosomal RNA
Rfam family: Bacterial small subunit ribosomal RNA
Source: RNAcentral
UAGGCGCACGGGUGAGUAACACGUAGGUAAUGUGCCUUUGGGUGGGGAAUAACUUAGGGAAACUUAAGCUAAUACCGCAUAAUGCGAUAACUUCUUCGGAAGAUUUUGUUAAGGAUUUAUCGCCUGAAGAGCAGCCUGCGGCAGAUUAGCUAGUUGGUAAGGUAACGGCUUACCAAGGCUACGAUCUGUAUCCGACCUGAGAGGGUGGUCGGACACACUGACACUGAAUAACGGGUCAG